Molecule: ribosomal RNA, 424 nt
Filed under: uncultured Glomeromycotina
Lineage: Eukaryota; Fungi; Glomeromycota
Description: SSU rRNA
Rfam family: Eukaryotic small subunit ribosomal RNA
Source: RNAcentral
UCGGUAUGUACUGGUGUUACUGGUUCCUACCUUCCGACGAACCGUCAUGUCAUUAAUUUGGUGUGGCGGGAAAUCAGGACUGUUACUUUGAAAAAAUUAGAGUGUUUAAAGCAGGCUCGCGCUUGAAUACAUUAGCAUGGAAUAAUGAAAUAGGACGUUCGAUCCUAUUUUGUUGGUUUCUAGGAUUGACGUAAUGAUUAAUAGGGAUAGUUGGGGGCAUUAGUAUUCAAUUGUCAGAGGUGAAAUUCUUGGAUUUAUUGAAGACUAACUACUGCGAAAGCAUUUGCCAAGGAUGUUUUCAUUAAUCAAGAACGAAAGUUAGGGGAUCGAAGACGAUCAGAUACCGUCGUAGUCUUAACCAUAAACUAUGCCGACUAGGGAUCGGAUGAUGUUAAUUUUUUAAUGACUCAUUCGGCGCCUUACG